RNAcentral lists this ribosomal RNA (100 nucleotides) under uncultured bacterium. RNAcentral describes it as "partial 16S ribosomal RNA". It matches the Rfam family "Bacterial small subunit ribosomal RNA", at positions 1384 to 1482 of the family's 1533-position model. The record is from RNAcentral.
CACUCACCGCCUGUCACAUCACCCGAGUCUGGUGCUCCCGAAGUCGCUGGCCGAACCCGCAAGGGACGGAGGCGCCGAAGGAGUGCCCGGUAAGGGGGUG